CAGAAUACCUACCGUUGUGAGGUUCACAUUCCAGAUAAUGUACACACAAUUUUUAUCAAAUAAAGAAGUGAAGCAUAUUUCAUGUUAGAUGGUGAUCCGAUCUACGGAGCUCUGCAGAGCUAGUGAUGAAGUACAGAGUGCCAGUAUGGCAUUUUAGGGACGUCAGGGCAGCCCUCCUCACUGACCGGAAGACACUUCAGCAGAGGCCGGAAGUAGAGCGAGGAGGGCGCCAUAUUGUUCUCCACGGCGAGAGGGUUCCAAGGCAAACGCGCCACAGCGGAAGCGUGCUCGGUGGGCUCGAAGGACGGCGAGGAGGCGGCGUGGACUGGCGCAGAGCAAGCGCUCCAGUCUCGGUUAUUCAGUCUUGCCUAUCAUGCUGCGCUUGGUGUUGGCCCUAGGGCUUGGGCUCCCGUUCUCCAUCAACAGUAGAUAAGGAGAUUGCAGCCCCGGAGGUCAGCGGCGGGGAGAGAUCGAAACUCCUGCGAUAUGAACAGUGGCUCCUGGGACGUGGCGGAGUAAAACAGGAGCGAGGCCGAGGCAGAUGAACAAUGAGGAGAUACAGGGCAGGGGCCAGGUCCCAACAGCAGCCCCCAGAGGGCAUUCCCGCCUUGGCCACCACCCCUUAACCAGUGACACGCGUCCUUGCCAGAGCCAGCCUUAGCCCUUAGCUUCUCGUGUAUUCGUGGUCCUAAGGAGACCACGUCACUCUACCUGCCUCUCUGCCCCUUCUGUAGCACGAAUGAUAACACCUUGCUUUGUUUCGCUGUAA
Long non-coding RNA from Felis catus (domestic cat), 769 nucleotides. RefSeq lists it as uncharacterized. The transcript has 2 exons. The record is from RefSeq and is a predicted model, not a curated record. Lineage: Eukaryota; Metazoa; Chordata; Mammalia; Carnivora; Felidae.